RNAcentral lists this ribosomal RNA (289 nucleotides) under uncultured Rhodothermaceae bacterium. RNAcentral's name for it is "partial 16S ribosomal RNA". Lineage: Bacteria; Pseudomonadati; Rhodothermota; Rhodothermia; Rhodothermales; Rhodothermaceae. The record is from RNAcentral.
CUACCGGGGUUUCUAAUCCUGUUCGCUCCCCACGCUUUCGUGCCUGAGCGUCAGUACCCGUCCAGCUAUCCGCCUACGCUUCUGGUAUUCCUCGUGAUAUUUACGCAUUUCACCGCUACACCACGAAUUCUGAUAGCCUCUCCGGGACUCAAGACGUGCAGUAUCAAGGGCAAUUCACCGGUUAGGCCGGUGGCUUUCACCCCUGACUUACACGCCCGCCUGCGCACCCUUUACACCCAGUGAUUCCGGACAACGCUUGGACCCUCCGUAUUACCGCGGCUGCUGGCAC